This 468-nucleotide ribosomal RNA is filed under the name uncultured bacterium. RNAcentral's name for it is "partial 16S ribosomal RNA". It matches the Rfam family "Bacterial small subunit ribosomal RNA", at positions 28 to 507 of the family's 1533-position model. The record is from RNAcentral.
GACGAACGCUGGCGGCGUGCUUAACACAUGCAAGUCGAACGGAAAGGCCCUGCUUUUGUGGGGUGCUCGAGUGGCGAACGGGUGAGUAACACGUGAGUAACCUGCCCUUGACUUUGGGAUAACUUCAGGAAACUGGGGCUAAUACCGGAUAGGAGCUCCUGCUGCAUGGUGGGGGUUGGAAAGGUUCGGCGGUUGGGGAUGGACUCGCGGCUUAUCAGCUUGUUGGUGGGGUAGUGGCUUACCAAGGCUUUGACGGGUAGCCGGCCUGAGAGGGUGACCGGCCACAUUGGGACUGAGAUACGGCCCAGACUACUACGGGAGGCAGCAGUAGGGAAUAUUGCACAAUGGGCGGAAGCCUGAUGCAGCAACGCCGCGUGCGGGAUUACGGCCUUCGGGUUGUAAACCGUUUUCGCCUGUGACGAAGCGUGGGUGACGGUAAUGGGUAAAGAAGCACCGGCUAACUACGUG